GCCCCCGGCCUCUGCGGGUACCCGCCGUUUGGCUCCGCGAGGUCUCCUCUCGCCUGCUGCGGUGUGGCGCCAACUUACACCUGCUGGCGGGGCGGGGGGACUACAGGAGGUGUGUGCGCGCCCCCCCAGGCCCCCGCGAGGCCGGGCCCGCCUGCCCAACCCCUGGCUCCUGCCUGCCCCUUGCCCGGGCGCUCAGGCCGGUGGGGCGCGCUGAGCCGCGGUAAUGGGCGCCCCGGCCCGGCCCACGCCUGUCGCAGACCUGGGAACUAGGAGCGCGUGGAGAACCGCCCCUCCCGGGGGAGCUGGAGCUGUCCAGGCGGGGCCCGGGGUGCUCCUUACACACAGCACCACUGAGCGCAGCGCCCAGAAGAGGGAAGGGCCAAGGCCACAGCCUGAGUUCCUAAGGGGACUCUCCCUGCCAAGGAGCAGAGUUCAGGCCAUGCAGCUUUAGAAGCAGCGACCUAGACUCUGGGAAACCAGAAAUGGAGCUCGAUUCUAUUGACUUGAAGGGGCAGGGGUUCCUGGGAGCAGCCCCCUGAGGACCCUGCUCCCAAGUCUAGCACAAGUUCAAAAGCAGACUGUAGGGUGAAGCGUCCUUACUCUGUUUCCUCAAGAUGAAAAUGGCUGCAAGGUCCCAGGUCACCAUUUACCCUGGGCCUGGAAGCAGGACAGGAUCCCCAGUACUUGCUGAUGACGCUGACAUGUGCACAGGGAAAGACCAGAGUCCCAUCAUCCCUGGGGAGUUUAGCCAGGGCGCAUCACCCUGGACUUUCCUCCCCUGGACCACCAGCGGAUCCCCCAACACGGUGGCCGAACAUCCACUGCGUUAUAACUAAAUGAAAUCCCAGCAGCUGAAGGGUCACACAACACAAACGUUCCCUGGCAAGACCCGUAAAGUGGCGGCUUAGGGGAAAUAAAAAUCUCUCCGCUCUUGCUCUUCCUGCAGUCCUUUCAGAGUGGGCGGGCCUGAACGCGGAUGGCCAAUGGCCCAGCAAACUCACUGAGCCCGUGUGAGGCCCCAGGUGCUGUGUGGAGGCAACAAUGUGCACAGACUGAUUAGAGCCAUUUUGUAGCUGAGAAACAGGGCAGGCUGGGCAAUGCAGCUUGUCUGACCAGUAAGUGGGCUGGGACUUGUCCUUGGAGGACCCCUGAGCCUGUGUGGACUUCUAGCUCUUAUGUCACCUUCCUUCCUGUGGUUUAUUCAUCUCCAGACUGUUGCUAAAUUUCUGUUUCUGUCACCCAUAGUAGCUAAAACUUGACCGUGUCCGAAUGGGCUAGAGUUUCUCUAGGAAGGCGAUCACGUGGCCGAGCUCUAAGGCAAGGUCCCAAAUAACCUCGCCUACAUCCACAUAGCAGGCCUUUCAGGAUUUGUCCCCUGGGCCGGCGCUGCACUGGACUCCAGGCACACGAUGGGGCGGGUCUCCAACAACAACCAAAGAGCCGGUCGAUAAUCACACGUGGAACUGCAAAACUACGGCUGUGAUAAGCCAGUGGUGCUGCCAGGACCUGGAGAGCUGGUCAGGAGGAACCAGACGGGUCCGGUUCAGCUUUCCGGGGAUGAGAAUUAACAAGGGAGGCCGAGGGACCCACAGGUGCACUGGUGUCUUGCCUGUAGGACUCCUGAAAAGAUGCAGGAGACAUGACUUCGCAAGUUGAGUUAUAACACCCCAGCAGUGCUUUCAAGAUCCUCUGGGAUCCCAGGAUCCCACGGUUAUGCAACACUGCCGAUUGGUUUUCAUUUGAUAACGUCCGUGAUUUCCUCCUGCAAAUCUGCUCCCACGUGUUUGAGUCUCAGAGUUCUCUAGCAAGUUGAAAGGUCUUAAAGUCCAUCACCCUGAAAUCCGACUCUAAAAUCUUAGCAAAGAGUGCCAUCUACUGGUGGCCCGAUUAAAGAGCUAAUUUAUUAAAAGCUGUGUUGUUUUUUCUCAGGAAGGCUGGUGGGGAAAAUAUCUGGAACGUUUCUACAGAGGAAAGUUGGCUGGAGUUUCUGCCAAGAGCCUUAAAGCCCUGUGCCCUCUACCUAGUAAUUCCACUUCUGGGAAUUUCUCUAAGGAAGUAAAGAGAAAAAGCGGAUCCAAAAAUCCUACAUUGAUGUGGAAACUUGCCCCCGUUGUGCAGCUGCCCGGUCUGUGUAUUCUCAAUCCCACGAGAAAUAUUUGUGUCCUUUUCACAAGAGAAAAGAGUGCCAGCCUGGACUUGGGGGCCCUGGGUUCAGAUGUGGCCUCUGCCACUGUGGUUAAUGCUGCACCCAACUUUGGAGAUUCCGUUUCUCUUUGUGAAGCAGGCCGGGUGGGAGGAGCCGACGGUGAAGCCCCGCAUCCUGCAUCCCCGCAGAGCAGCAGAGGCGGCGAAGAUCAGAAGAUCAGCGUCUCACUAGAAAGGUGUGCCUCCAGGGCCUUGCGGCGGACCGGCUGUUGGGGUGCUGGGCCUCCAGACUCUGAUUCUUUCCCAGCAUGUGCUGGGCUGGAAUGUGUGUCAGAGGAAACGUGGAAAGAAGUGGUUCUACACUCACGCAUCUUCUGAUGUGGUCACUCGUCUGGGUGUGGUCACUUGCCUGGCUACAGCUCCUUGUCCAGGUGUGGUCUCAGCUGCAGGAAUGUCCACGUCAGGCAGCUGAUGAGCCUCUGGAAAUGUACCUCUCUUGCUCGCUGCAACGUGUCUCCCCUCCUGUGACCACUGACAAUUAAAGGAGACCCUUUACACUUGCCAGCAACCUGAUGGCCUAUAACCAGCUGGUGUCAACAGCCCCACCAGUCUCUGGCACAAUUAAUCCCCCAAACCCUUGACCACCCAACCACUCAGGUCUUCCCCCCCUCCAAGGAGUCUGGGUUUGGGACUCUGGGCUUCUCUUGGGGGUUUAUCCCAAAGGCCUGGGUUGACAAGUCAGAACACUGACUGGACAUUUGGGUCCUAGUCUGAUUUCUUCACAUGGAUAAUAUGCAACUAGUGUUGGGCAUCUAUCCUGCAUGUCCUUGCACGGGCUCAUUUGGGACAUGGCCCCCCACCUUCUUUCACUGACACCAGUUGAGUUAUAUCCUCCUGGAACAAUAGACAGAAAUCCUACCCACCAAUACCUCAGAAUGUGAUCUCAUUUGGAAAUAGGUUAUUGCAGAGGUAUGGGAAGGUGU
Molecule: long non-coding RNA, 3128 nt
Organism: Canis lupus familiaris (dog)
Lineage: Eukaryota; Metazoa; Chordata; Mammalia; Carnivora; Canidae
Exons: 3
Source: RefSeq, a predicted model, not a curated record